GACGAACGCUGGCGGCGUGCUUAACACAUGCAAGUCGAACGGAAAGGCCCUGCUUUUGUGGGGUGCUCGAGUGGCGAACGGGUGAGUAACACGUGAGUAACCUGCCCUUGACUUUGGGAUAACUUCAGGAAACUGGGGCUAAUACCGGAUAGGAGCUCCUGCUGCAUGGUGGGGGUUGGAAAGUUUCGGCGGUUGGGGAUGGACUCGCGGCUUAUCAGCUUGUUGGUGGGGUAGUGGCGUACCAAGGCUUUGACGGGUAGCCGGCCUGAGAGGGUGACCGGCCACCAUGCGACUGAGAUACGGCCCAGACUCCUACGGGAGGCAGCAGUGGGGAAUAUUGCACAAUGGGCGGAAGCCUGAUGCAGCAACGCCGCGUGCGGGAUGACGGCCUUCGGGUUGUAAACCGCUUUCGCCUGUGACGAAGCGUGAGUGACGGUAAUGGGUAAAGAAGCACCGGCUAACUACGUG
Molecule: ribosomal RNA, 468 nt
Filed under: uncultured bacterium
Lineage: Bacteria
Description: partial 16S ribosomal RNA
Rfam family: Bacterial small subunit ribosomal RNA
Source: RNAcentral